GCUUGUCUCAAAGAUUAAGCCAUGCAUGUCCAAGUAUAAACAGAUUGUACGGUGAAACUGCGAAAGGCUCAUUAUAACAGAUAUAAUUUAGAUGGUGGGAGAGAAGGAAAGGACUACAAGGAUAACCGUGGUAAUUCUAGAGCUAAUACAUGAAGAGAAGACCCGACUUUUAGGGGAAGGGGACCGUUUAUUAGAUUACAAGCCAAGAAAGAAAGGUGAAUCAAGAUAACAGAGGAGAUCGUAAGGCAUCAUAGGGCCGACGACGCAUCAAAGAAAUAUCUGGCCUAUCAACUUUGGAUGGUAGGAUAGAGGCCUACCAUGGUGGUGACGGGUAACGGGGGAUUAGGGUUCGAUUCCGGAGAGGGAGCCUGAGAAAUGGCUACCACUUCCAAGGAAGGCAGCAGG
This 405-nucleotide ribosomal RNA is filed under the name uncultured fungus. RNAcentral describes it as "partial small subunit ribosomal RNA". It matches the Rfam family "Eukaryotic small subunit ribosomal RNA", at positions 30 to 432 of the family's 1831-position model. The record is from RNAcentral. Lineage: Eukaryota; Fungi.